Molecule: ribosomal RNA, 305 nt
Filed under: uncultured bacterium
Lineage: Bacteria
Description: bacterial SSU rRNA
Rfam family: Bacterial small subunit ribosomal RNA
Source: RNAcentral
AAUCCUACGGGGGGCAGCAGUGGGGAAUAUUGCACAAUGGGGGAAACCCUGAUGCAGCAACGCCGCGUGAGUGAAGGAGUAUUUCGGUAUGUAAAGCUCUAUCAGCAGGGAAGAAGAUGACGGUACCUGAUUAAGAAGCCCCGGCUAACUACGUGCCAGCAGCCGCGGUAAUACGUAGGGGGCAAGCGUUAUCCGGAUUUACUGGGUGUAAAGGGAGCGCAGACGGCAGCGCAAGUCUGGAGUGAAAGCCCGGGGCCCAACCCCGGAACUGCUCUGGGAACGGUGAGGCUAGAGUACUGGAGGGG